GAUGAACGCUGGCGGCGUGCCUAAUACAUGCCAGUCGAGCGAACAGACGAGGAGCUUGCUCCUCUGACGUUAGCGGCGGACGGGUGAGUAACACGUGGAUAACCUACCUAUAAGACUGGGAUAACUUCGGGAAACCGGAGCUAAUACCGGAUAAUAUAUUGAACCGCAUGGUUCAAUAGUGAAAGACGGUUUUGCUGUCACUUAUAGAUGGAUCCGCGCCGCAUUAGCUAGUUGGUAAGGUAACGGCUUACCAAGGCAACGAUGCGUAGCCGACCUGAGAGGGUGAUCGGCCACACUGGAACUGAGACACGGUCCAGACUCCUACGGAGGCAGCAGUAGGGAAUCUUCCGCAAUGGGCGAAAGCUUGACGGAGCAACGCCGCGUGAGUGAUGAAGGUCUUCGGAUCGUAAAACUCUGUUAUUAGGGAAGAACAAAUGUGUAAGUAACUAUGCACGUCUUGACGGUACCUAAUCAGAAAGCCACGGCUAACUACGUG
RNAcentral lists this ribosomal RNA (496 nucleotides) under uncultured bacterium. RNAcentral describes it as "partial 16S ribosomal RNA". It matches the Rfam family "Bacterial small subunit ribosomal RNA", at positions 28 to 507 of the family's 1533-position model. The record is from RNAcentral.